This 253-nucleotide ribosomal RNA is filed under the name uncultured bacterium. RNAcentral describes it as "partial 16S ribosomal RNA". It matches the Rfam family "Bacterial small subunit ribosomal RNA", at positions 524 to 776 of the family's 1533-position model. The record is from RNAcentral.
UACGAAGGGUGCUAGCGUUGUUCGGAAUCACUGGGCGUAAAGCGCGCGUAGGCGGCUUUGCAAGUCAGGGGUGAAAUCCCAGAGCUUAACUCUGGAACUGCCUUUGAAACUGCAAAGCUAGAGUGUCGGAGGGGAUGGCGGAAUUGCUAAUGUAGAGGUGAAAUUCGUAGAUAUUAGCAGGAACACCGGUGGCGAAGGCGGCCAUCUGGACGACAACUGACGCUGAGGCGCGAAAGCGUGGGGAUCAAACAGG